CCUUUACCGAAGUGAUUGAUAGCAGGGCUAAAAAAUCAUAGGGCUUCUUCUAUUUUUAGUGUGAACUCACUUCUAUUCUAUAUCAAGAUAGGGGCUUCAGUACUUGGCUGACCGCCCGGUGGAAGACCUGGUUCUACCACACAAGGGCAGCUUUCGUAGUCCAGGAUUAUUUUCCUCAUAUGUAAUUUCACCUCAAUGUGGAAAUG
Molecule: long non-coding RNA, 206 nt
Filed under: Hordeum vulgare
Lineage: Eukaryota; Viridiplantae; Streptophyta; Magnoliopsida; Poales; Poaceae
Description: long non-coding RNA (HVUL_LNC014450)
Source: RNAcentral